Diceros bicornis minor is the source of this 587-nucleotide long non-coding RNA. RefSeq lists it as uncharacterized. Lineage: Eukaryota; Metazoa; Chordata; Mammalia; Perissodactyla; Rhinocerotidae. The transcript is spliced from 3 exons. The record is from RefSeq and is a predicted model, not a curated record.
UACCAAAAGAUCAUGUUUCGUGCUUUUUCUUCAGCUUGUUAUAAGGCCAGCAGUAGCUACGGCAUAGCAGAUAAUCGGGAUCUUCUGGGUUUGGAGGUUUACAACAUAAAAGAGUGAAUAAGAGGAAAAGAAGGAUGAUAGUCACGUCUUCACAGAGGAAGCAGCGUGACUGUGGGAACCAGUCUAAACCAAAGCCUGGUUUAAGCAUCUCCUUCCCUUUGAGGCUGUCCAGUGACAUAUUCGAGAGGCCGGUUACUAGAAUCCUAUCCCAUCCUGGCAAUGACAGAUCUCUGGGAGGACACCUUGGACCAGCCCCACCAGGUCUGCUGGCCCGAGAGACCGCAAGGACUCCAGGCCUGCAGCAGUGCAAGACAACUGAAACUCCGUUUUUCCUCCUUGAGCAAAUUUCAACAGCUUUGAGCCAGUGAGACUACAAGACAGCUGGCAAGACUCAAACCGCUACUGCACAAGUGACUGGCGGAUAACCUGGGAGACCAAGAACUCCCCUGCCGAUCAUGUUAAGAACACCACCUUUUGAACAUAGGAUGUAUGACAGAACAUUAAAAUCUUCUGCACUUGCACAAAAU